This is a non-coding RNA of Jatropha curcas, 1633 nucleotides long. The record is from RefSeq and is a predicted model, not a curated record. NCBI's taxonomy places the organism in Eukaryota, Viridiplantae, Streptophyta, Magnoliopsida, Malpighiales, Euphorbiaceae.
AAAGACAAAUGAUUGAUCAGGGAAGAGUUUAACAGUAUGGAUUUUCAAAAUCAGUUUGCAAUUUGCUUCUCACUUUGUUUGUGUAAGGCAUGCUGUUAACUUCAGACCAUGUGUCUCAAGUCAACAUUACUCGAAGUCUUUCAAGAACUUGAGGAUUUUCAUCAAGGAAUUUGACAAGCCAUGUUAGAGCAGCUGUUGUAGUAUCAUGACCUGCAACUAGCAGAGUUAAUAUAUUAUCCUUGAGUUGUUGAUCAGUAAGUUUAUUUUCAUUAUCUUCCCCAUCUCCUGCUUUCGUAUGCUUCAUUAUCAGUGACUCUAAGAAAUCUUGUUGGAAGCUUUUUCCACUUCUCCUCAUUGCAAUGGUUGAAUCUAGCAUUUCGUACAUCCUAUCCCUAGCCUGAACAAGAGAAAUAUCGCAUUAAUGUCAUGUUUUGAUUUAUAUAUUUGAAUGGUCGUGUUUGGAUUUCAAAUAUUUAUGAAUUUUCCACAACAAAUCCUUCAAAUAACUUUCCAACAUUUCAAAUAUACUCCAUACUAUAUCCUAGAUUUCACAUCAACUCAAGAAUCCAAACAUAUUACUGAAAAAGGUAUGCUUCUGGUUUUUUAACUUCAAUGGCAAAGAUCAUUUGAUUCAUAGUUAUGCUACUGCAAGAAGUAGUUGAGGUCUGAUUAAUUGAUACCUUAAUACCAUUAUGAAAAGCUGUUCCAGGGAUCUUGAAUGGCAGUGAUGCAAAGGAAGAAGAGAUUAUUUUGAAAUUUGACCGAAACUUCUCCUGCUCUUCUCCUGCGGGUUCUAGGCUCAUUAUCAUGUUGCCAAUUACUUUGAGAGUGAACUGCAAAAGGGCAAAGGAUAUCAUUACAUCCCCACAAACAAUGCAAAAGAAAAAAUGUUUGUUUUUUUGGUUUAUCUUCAAGACUUAACUGUAGAAGCUUCUUCAAGGACGAACACUUUUCGUCCAGGCCACUGAUCUAAUGUUUCAAUAGCUAGAGUAUUAAUGAAAUGAAAAUAUUUCUUUAGCCCAUCAACUGAUAAAGGUUCUGCAAUCAGUCUCCGUAGCCUUUUGUGUGCUUCUCCAGUGGUUUGAAGCAAGCUUGUAGGGCCUAGCACCUGCUGCCCUGUAUAGAAAAGGUUCAAGCUCACCAUUCCAUCUUUUCCUGUCAAUAAGAUUUUACUCGCUUCUCUUCCUGUCAUGAAGACGGUGAAUCUACCCAGGACAAAGCUCUUGAAAACCUUUCCAUACCUGAAAUAAAAAUCAUGAGAAUGCAAAAACAGGAGUAUUGAGUUUGAAUUUCAUGGUUACUUACUUUUGUUGCCUCUUUUUCAUGAAGCUGAAUAUACCAGAUGGACUAGAAAACUCAGAUAGGAAUGAGAAGCUUUCACCUACAAUAGGCCAACCCAAGCUUCCUGGAAUGUACUCCAUUGCUUUUGGAGAAAUCCAUAAAUGCAGCAAGUAAAAAGCUAACACAAGCAAGCUUACAAGAGCAAUGAUGAGUAAUAUGGUGGGAUCCAUUGCUAGUCAAUUGAUCACCUCAGGAGGACCAAAUGUUGAGCUUACAAUAAUGAUCUGUUAGACACAAACACACAAAUAAUGUAUAUGUAUAUAAGGUUAUAAACAAUAAAUUCUUCUGCAUA